This is a long non-coding RNA of Dalotia coriaria, 1865 nucleotides long. RefSeq lists it as uncharacterized. NCBI's taxonomy places the organism in Eukaryota, Metazoa, Arthropoda, Insecta, Coleoptera, Staphylinidae. The transcript has 6 exons. The record is from RefSeq and is a predicted model, not a curated record.
GUGCAAAGUCAAAAAGUUGUUAUCGUUGUGUUAGCGUCCCUCGUCUUCGUAGAUCAGCACGUUGUUUCAGAAUAAUUGUAUUUCAAGUCGGUGUGGUUCAUUGCAAUGUAAUUUAAUUUAAGUGUCUGUUCACCUGAGCACGAGUGAGAUUCUCUAGCAAUCUGAAGGUGGCUGAAGAAGAGGUUUGUCACAAUGUAUGGCGCUACAUGGCACUUCGACAAAAGCCAAUUCUUCAGGUUUUACCUUGCAAGGUUUCCAUUGAAAGUUGGAAAGUUGAUCAAUAGCAAUGCAGAACUAGAAGCAUCUUCAGGUUGCUACACAAUUGUUGACAACAUCUAUUGGAGGAUUGUCGAAUUUGUUUCAAUAUAUUUAUAUAGUGACGUGAAAUUGCUGGAUCUGGGACCGACUGCAAAAUAUAUUGUAUAAUCAUAAACCGAGUGAGGAAGGCUGAACAAAGAAGGGGUUUAGCGGGCGAACGAAAUGUCCUAGGACAACGAUUCUUUUAUCAGAUUGUAAGUAUUGAAUUUGUAUAUCAUUUACAUUUAUUUUUAGGUGAUUUGCGCACGGGAAACCGGCAAAAAGAUCAUUUUUGUGCUUUGAUGUACUGAUUUUUUGCCGUUUUGGGUAUUUUGCGGGCGAACGAAAUGUCCUAGGACAACGAUUCUUUUAUCAGAUUAUAAGUAUUGAAUAUGUAUAUCAUUUACAUUUAUAAUUUGUGUGAUAUGCACACAGGGGAACCUGCAAAAAGAUAAUUUUUGUUCUUCGAUGUACUGAUUUUUGGCAGUUUUGGGUAUUUAGCGGGCGAACGAAAUGUCCUAGGACAACGAUUCUUUUAUCAAAUUGUGGCCAGCGGGCGAACGAAAUGUCCUAGGACAACGAUUCUUUUAUCAGAUUGUAAGUAUUGAAUUUGAAUAUCAGCUACAUUUAUAAUUCGUGUGAUUUGCACACGGGAAAUCGGCAAAAAGGUAAUUUUUGUGCUUCGAUGUUCCGAUUUUUGGCAGUUUUAGGUGUUUAGCGGGCGAACGAAAUGUCAUAGGACAACGAUGUUUUUAUCAGAUUGUGUCUAGCGGGCAAACCCGAUGUCGUAGGACAACCAUUAUUCCAUGUGAUUCCAAAUAUUCUAGUUGUUUAGCAUUGUCAUAUACAACAUCUUUGUUUAAUACAAGGAAAAGCCACAAAGGUGGUAUUUUACCGCAGUACGUUAAUUAAAAACCUUUGUUUUAAAUAUUUUUUUGUAAACUUCACCGGAUAGCUUGAUAACUUGCAAUAUAUUUGUAAUCGCAUUUCUGUCGUAUGCAUAUAGAAAAAUGCCUUUCCAUCUGCGGGUCGAUUAAUUAUCAAUCUGUAUUGCUUAGUUCGGCUUAGUCGGUUGAGUGCUGUUGCCAGUGUGCACGUGUUUUGUUCAUUAAUCAAACGUGGUGACACUUUCUCGCGGUUCUUGAUAUUUUGUAGCAUUACUAGAUUCGAUUGACAAUGAGAAGCAUUGAAUAGUAACCGCACAGUAUAGCGCACAACGAAUGAUUUGAGUGAUUCAUUGCGGUGCGUGCGUGGCGUUCGUCGGAUAUGUUUCGAUGACUAUGGAUACUUAUUGGAGCUCAAGUUAAAUUUAAUUGUUAAACGUGAAUACAAGUUACUACAUUUGGAAUCUCCGCGUAGAAUAGUAAAGAACUGCGUAUCAUCAAUUCUACAUACAAUUUGCAGAAACGUGUUUGUGCUCUUCUGUCAUUUAUUGAUUCAAAAACAAAGGAGUAAGUAGCAUCAAAUAAAAGUUUACUUUUAUUUAACUUUUUAAAUCUACCAGUUACCAUGUUAUUGCUUCAUAAUAAUUAUAAUUGAUUUGGUCAAUAAAGGAUAAUUUAAUUUUA